Molecule: unclassified non-coding RNA, 358 nt
Filed under: soil metagenome
Description: partial contains 5.8S ribosomal RNA, internal transcribed spacer 2, and large subunit ribosomal RNA
Rfam family: 5.8S ribosomal RNA (bases 1-120)
Source: RNAcentral
GAUGAAGAACGCAGCGAAAUGCGAUAAGUAAUGUGAAUUGCAGAAUUCAGUGAAUCAUCGAAUCUUUGAACGCACAUUGCGCCCGUCAGUAUUCUGGCGGCCAUGCCUGUUCGAGCGUCAUUACGCCCCUCAAGUCCCCUGUGGACUUGGUGUUGGGGAUCGGCGAGGCUGGUUUUCCAGCACAGCCGUCCCUUAAAUUAAUUGGCGGUCUCGCCGUGGCCCUCCUCUGCGCAGUAGUAAAACACUCGCAACAGGAGCCCGGCGCGGUCCACUGCCGUAAAACCCCCCAACUUUUUAUAGUUGACCUCGAAUCAGGUAGGACUACCCGCUGAACUUAAGCAUAUCAAUAAGCGGAGGA